AUUGAACGCUGGCGGCAGGCUUAACACAUGCAAGUCGAGCGGGGGAAGGUAGCUUGCUACCGGACCUAGCGGCGGACGGGUGCGUAAUGCUUAGGAAUCUGCCUAUUAGUGGGGGACAACAUCUCGAAAGGGAUGCUAAUACCGCAUACGUCCUACGGGAGAAAGCAGGGGAUCUUCGGACCUUGCUCUAAUAGAUGAGCCCAAGUAGGAUUAGCUAGUUGGUGGGGUAAAGGCCUACCAAGGCGACGAUCUGAAGCGGGUCGGAGAGGAUGAGCCGCCACACUGGGACUGAGACACGGCCCAGACUCCUAGGGGAGGCAGCAGUGGGGAAUAUUGGACAAUGGGGGAAACCCUGAUCCAGCCAUGCCGCGUGUGUGAAGAAGGCCUUAUGGUUGUAAAGCACUUUAAGCGAGGAGGAGGCUACUUUAGUUAAUACCUAGAGAUAGUGGACGUAACUCGCAGAAUAAGCACCGGCUAACUCUGUGCCAGCCGCCGCGGUAA
Molecule: ribosomal RNA, 501 nt
Filed under: uncultured bacterium
Lineage: Bacteria
Description: partial 16S ribosomal RNA
Rfam family: Bacterial small subunit ribosomal RNA
Source: RNAcentral